CACGUAGGGCGCGAGCGUUGUCCGGAAUUAUUGGGCGUAAAGAGCUCGUAGGCGGCCUGUUGCGUCCGCUGUGAAAGCCCGGGGCUUAACCCCGGGUCUGCAGUGGAUACGGGCAGGCUAGAGGUAGGUAGGGGAGAAUGGAAUUCCCGGUGUAGCGGUGAAAUGCGCAGAUAUCAGGAGGAACACCAAUGGCGAAGGCAGAUCUCUGGGCCGUAACUGACGCUGAGGAGCGAAAGCAUGGGGAGCGAACAGG
RNAcentral lists this ribosomal RNA (253 nucleotides) under uncultured bacterium. RNAcentral describes it as "partial 16S ribosomal RNA". It matches the Rfam family "Bacterial small subunit ribosomal RNA", at positions 524 to 776 of the family's 1533-position model. The record is from RNAcentral.